Molecule: non-coding RNA, 98 nt
Organism: Sulfurovum sp. NBC37-1
Lineage: Bacteria; Pseudomonadati; Campylobacterota; Epsilonproteobacteria; Campylobacterales; Sulfurovaceae
Source: Rfam
UUUUCAGACCUGUGCAACGGGACUGAGGGACAACGGGUCAGGACGGGAACGUAGCAGCCCACCCCUCUUUCUCGUGUGCCGCAGCCAUCUGGGGAGAG